Molecule: ribosomal RNA, 224 nt
Filed under: uncultured bacterium
Lineage: Bacteria
Description: partial 16S ribosomal RNA
Rfam family: Bacterial small subunit ribosomal RNA
Source: RNAcentral
AGUAAUAGAUAGGAACGUGUCCGGGAGUGGGGGAUAACUAGCCGAAAGGUUAGCUAAUACCGCAUAUUCUCUACGGAGGAAAGCAGGGGAACCGCAAGGUCCUUGCGCUCGCGGAGUGGCCUAUCUCCGAUUAGCUAGUUGGUGAGGUAAAGGCUUACCAAGGCGACGAUCGGUAGCUGGUCUGAGAGGAUGAUCAGCCACACUGGGACUGAGACACGGCCCAG